This 443-nucleotide ribosomal RNA is filed under the name uncultured bacterium. RNAcentral's name for it is "partial 16S ribosomal RNA". It matches the Rfam family "Bacterial small subunit ribosomal RNA", at positions 338 to 795 of the family's 1533-position model. The record is from RNAcentral.
CCUACGGGGGGCUGCAGUGGGGAAUAUUGGGCAAUGGGCGCAAGCCUGACCCAGCAACGCCGCGUGAAGGAAGAAGGCUUUCGGGUUGUAAACUUCUUUUCUCAGGGACGAAGCAAGUGACGGUACCUGAGGAAUAAGCCACGGCUAACUACGCGCCAGCAGCCGCGGUAAUACGUAGGUGGCAAGCGUGCUCCGGAUUUACUUGGUGUAAAGGGCGAGUAGGCGGGAAAGCAAGUCAGAUGUGAAAACCAUGGGCUCAACCUGGGGCCUGCAUUUGAAACUGUUUUUCGUGAGUACUGGAGAGGCAGACGGAAUUCCUAGUGGAGCGGGGAAAUGCGUAGAUAGUAGGAGGAACACCAGGGGCGAAGGCGGUUUGCUGGACAGCAACUGACGCUGAGGCGCGAAAGCGUGGGGAGCAAACAGGAUUAGAUACCCCUGUAGUC